UGCCGAUCAUAUUCCUGGGACUCCCAGGAAAUCCAGGGGCUCGUCUCCGCCACGUGCCAAGCAGAAACAACUGCUGCACAUAAUUAAAAGAGUGUAAAAGUGAGGCAGCUGCUGUCAAAUGUGCCGCGCGUAGAAUUAGCUUCCCACUUUCCAUUAAUGGAAGCGGGGACGGGCCGGGCCCUGUCCUUGCGGUCGUGCGUCUGGGCAUCUGGGCCUCGGACGGGUGCCAGCGAGGGCGAGCGAGCGAGAGAGAGAGGAGCAGACAAAGACACGCUCCACAGAAGGGUGAGGUUGACUCCGGGUCACAGAGGCGGCCUGGCCUUAUGGCUGACAGAUGUUAGUCUGGUUCAACAAGAGUUGGGAUGCUGGAAAAAGUUACACCACACUCGGUUCCACAUUGCAAUUAUCUUCUCUGUGUAAAGAAACAUCUCGUAUAUCACCGCUCAACAAGACAUAAGCAAAAGCCACUCCCUGGAUCAGGAGGCCUUUGAUAAACCAUGGCACUUCAACGCGCUGCCUAAUUGUAUGGCACUAAAAUGUUUCGCUGUUGCAGCUAGUGGGCCUGUUAGCAGCAUUCCCAAGCGGCACCACAGUGUAUUUUUUUUACUGUGGAGAGCUCAUCAGCCGGCAGUGAUUGUGCUAAUGCUGCUAAUGAUCCCCAGGAGACAUCAACGCAGACCGGAACCGAGCCUGUUCAUUUACAGGAAGGUUCAGUGCAAGUGUCUGGAGGGAGUCAAGGAUGAGACCUGUCUCCAGACGCUCCCCUGUCGCCCCAUGGGAGGGGUCACGCUGUGCACAGGAUUCCUCAAGAGCUGA
This 816-nucleotide long non-coding RNA is filed under the name Betta splendens (Siamese fighting fish). RNAcentral's name for it is "lncRNA (ENSBSLG00000015465.1)". The record is from RNAcentral. Lineage: Eukaryota; Metazoa; Chordata; Actinopteri; Anabantiformes; Osphronemidae.